Molecule: ribosomal RNA, 468 nt
Filed under: uncultured bacterium
Lineage: Bacteria
Description: partial 16S ribosomal RNA
Rfam family: Bacterial small subunit ribosomal RNA
Source: RNAcentral
GACGAACGCUGGCGGCGUGCUUAACACAUGCAAGUCGAACGGAAAGGCCCUGCUUUUGUGGGGUGCUCGAGUGGCGAACGGGUGAGUAACACGUGAGUAACCUGCCCUUGACUUUGGGAUAACUUCAGGAAACUGGGGCUGAUACCGGAUAGGAGCUCCUGCUGCAUGGUGGGGGUUGGAAAGUUUCGGCGGUUGGGGAUGGACUCGCGGCUUAUCAGCUUGUUGGUGGGGUAGUGGCUUACCAAGGCUUUGAUGGGUAGCCGGCCUGAGAGGGUGACCGGCCACAUAGGGACUGAGAUAGGGGCAAGAAUCCAAAGGGAGGCAGGAGUGGGAAAUUUUGCACAAUGGGCGGAAGCCUUAUGCAGCAACGCCGCGUGCGGGAUGACGGCCUUCGGGUUGUAAACCGCUUUCGCCUGUGACGAAGCGUGAGUGACGGUAAUGGGUAAAGAAGCACCGGCUAACUACGUG